This 203-nucleotide long non-coding RNA is filed under the name Homo sapiens (human). Its description in RNAcentral is "HSALNT0253660". Lineage: Eukaryota; Metazoa; Chordata; Mammalia; Primates; Hominidae. The record is from RNAcentral.
CUAUAAUUAGCGUCAUAAUCUGAGCUGGGGCCUUUUCAUCCAAGUUUAGACGGCCUUAUGGAGAUCAACCGAGUCUGGAUUGCACCCUGCCAGAGAGGAACCUGAGACACUUUGCAAGGAGCUGGGUGCGAAGCAACCUGGCCCGGGUCACAGGGAGGUGCCGGUACGGAGGCCGGCGUCCAGUGAGAUUGGAUUCACAGGUU